This 1174-nucleotide long non-coding RNA is filed under the name Cavia porcellus (domestic guinea pig). Its description in RNAcentral is "lncRNA (ENSCPOG00000037916.1)". Lineage: Eukaryota; Metazoa; Chordata; Mammalia; Rodentia; Caviidae. The record is from RNAcentral.
GUUCAUGUAUGUAACUAAUAAAAUCUCACCAUUAUUAACAAUUUAAAAAUUAAAUAAUCAAUUUCUGAUUCUUUUCAAAUUACAGCUUGGACAAAACAAACAAUCAAGCAUAAGAAGUUCAGAAGAUUUCCAUUUAAAUAGUUUCAAUAAUCCUCCCAGACAAUAUCAGAAAAUAAUGAAGAGGCUCAUUAAAAGAUACGUGCUGCAAGCCCAGAUAGAUAAAGAGAGCGAUGAGGUGAAUGAAGGGGAACUAAAGGAAAUUAAGCAGGACAUUUCAAGUCUCCGCUAUGAACUCCUAGAAGAAAAAUCUCAGAACACAGAAGAUCUCGCAGAACUGAUUAGAAAACUUGGAGAGAAAUUGUCCUCAGAACCAAAGCAAGAAGAAAACAAUAGAUAAUGAAAAGAUUUUCUUGGAAAUUCGUAUUUAUUUGUUCACUUGAAGCCAUAUUGUUUUCUGACUUUUUAAACUGAAGAUGAAAAAAGAAAAGGUUACAUGAUAACUUGGGUUACCCUGUCAUCUGGAGCCCUCGCAUCUAAUAUUUUGGUGAUUAAAUUUCGCUAUUUAGUCUAAAAAUUGUGAAUUCUGAUGAAAAUUUUGUGUAGUUAUUUAGUACUUGUUUUAUAAGCUGCUUUUUUGGAUGUCAUAUAGUGAUUAUAUGGUUGCCAGAUGAUAUCUGCCUCGAAUGGGUCUCAGAUGGCAAGGAUCUGUGGAUCUGCAUUAUUUCUUGUGUGUUUUUCCUCCAAAGGUGGCUUCAGGCAUCUUUCUGCCUACUUGGUGCAUCCGCUGAGGGUAACUUCCAGCCCUGGGAUACGGGGGAAAUAAUCUGUGGUCAUUUAAAGAAAGCUGUUCAGCCCCAAAGAAUAAGACUGAUAUUAUUUGUGCAAAAUUGGCUUACAUCCAUAUUAAACUUUUUCAUUUAUGUCUUUGAAAACAUUACACUUAACCAAGAAAAGAUGUUUCCUCCACUUAACCCUGGAAAUAUCCUACAGUUGUGAUAUAUUGCAUAUGUGUGUGUGUGUGUGUGUGUGUGUGUGUGUGUGUGUGGCUGUGUGCAUACAUACACAUAAAAUGCUUACUCUGUUUCUUUUGUAGCUAAUAUAAACACUCAAAAGCUCUUUAUUAUAAGAUAUUUUUGUGGCUGAAAAAUUAAUGCCCAAAUAAAAAACUUUUAUA